CAGUAGCCGCGGUAAUACGUAGGGUGCGAGCGUUAAUCGGAAUUACUGGGCGUAAAGCGUGCGCAGGCGGUUUGUUAAGACAGAUGUGAAAUCCCCGGGCUCAACCUGGGAACUGCAUUUGUGACUGGCAAGCUAGAGUGUGGCAGAGGGGGGUGGAAUUCCGCGUGUAGCAGUGAAAUGCGUAGAUAUGCGGAGGAACACCGAUGGCGAAGGCAGCCCCCUGGGCCAACACUGACGCUCAUGCACGAAAGCGUGGGGAGCAAACAGGAUUAGAUACCCGUGUAGUCCCUGUCUCUUAUAC
RNAcentral lists this ribosomal RNA (301 nucleotides) under uncultured bacterium. RNAcentral's name for it is "partial 16S ribosomal RNA". It matches the Rfam family "Bacterial small subunit ribosomal RNA", at positions 509 to 807 of the family's 1533-position model. The record is from RNAcentral.